RNAcentral lists this transfer RNA (66 nucleotides) under Lissotriton lantzi (Caucasian smooth newt). RNAcentral describes it as "tRNA-Cys". The record is from RNAcentral. Lineage: Eukaryota; Metazoa; Chordata; Amphibia; Caudata; Salamandridae.
AGCCUCGAGAUGUUCAGCAUAUAAAAUUGCAAAUUUUAAAGAGUAGAGUAGUUUCUGCCGGGGCUU